GAGUUUGAUCCUGGCUCAGGAUGAACGCUAGCGGCAGGCCUAAUACAUGCAAGUCGAACGGGAUCGGGGGCUUCGGUCCCCGUGAGAGUGGCGCACGGGUGCGUAACGCGUGAGCAACCUGCCCGUCCCAGGGGGAUAGCCCGGAGAAAUCCGGAUUAAUACCGCAUGAGAAUGCAGGUCCGCAUGGGCCUUCAUUUAAAUAUUCAUAGGGGACGGAUGGGCUCGCGUGACAUUAGCUGGUUGGCGGGGUAACGGCCCACCAAGGCGACGAUGUCUAGGGGCUCUGAGAGGAGAAACCCCCACACUGGUACUGAGACACGGACCAGACUCCUACGGGAGGCAGCAGUAAGGAAUAUUGGUCAAUGGGGGGAACCCUGAACCAGCCAUGCCGCGUGCAGGAAGACGGCCCUACGGGUUGUAAACUGCUUUUGCACGGGAAUAACCCCGGUAUGUAUACCGGGCUGAAUGUACCGUGAGAAUAAGGAUCGGCUAACUCCGUG
This 500-nucleotide ribosomal RNA is filed under the name uncultured Olivibacter sp. RNAcentral's name for it is "bacterial SSU rRNA". It matches the Rfam family "Bacterial small subunit ribosomal RNA", at positions 9 to 507 of the family's 1533-position model. The record is from RNAcentral. Lineage: Bacteria; Pseudomonadati; Bacteroidota; Sphingobacteriia; Sphingobacteriales; Sphingobacteriaceae.